AAAUUACUGAAAAAAAUCAUAUUAAUGUUCCAUGAGGGCAGAACUUUGGCGAAACGACCUAAAACUGCACUUGGCUCUGUAGAUCCCAUUAUCAGGCAACCAACAAUUAGAAAUAAAAUCGAAUAUGACCAAGGUAAUUAUUCAAAUCAAAUUCGCAUUUUAUGUCAAAGUACCUUUUGAAAUACCAUUUGGCCUCUUUAAAUUAAAUAGCACUUACUAUUAAUUAACAGUUAGGCCGUGAACACAUCAUAUGCAUAACUCAAAAUGCAUAAUUCAUGGCUAGAACACUUGAUGAGCUCAUAUCUGUUACGCAAUGUGUGUCCCCUUUACUGACCAUAACUACAGUAGGCGUGAAGGCCUGUAUAACAAUAAUAUCCGACUGUAUUUCCUGAUAAUAAAUAACCACCUUGGAGAGCCAUAAAGCGGAGAAAAACGAGCAGAACCGAGCAACACCGAAACAUAGAAACUGACGACUGCGGCUGCGUCGCUUUCAUUUUGUCCACACAACAGCAAAGAUUAUUGAGCGACUCUUCUACUUUGUUUUUUAAAAUCGAUUUGUAUAAGAACACAUGUUCGAGACACAAAGGAUUUUAGAGCCACAUCACCAAACAUCCCGGAAACAGAAACGCAGCGCUGUGAUUGGACCGCGCAAGAGAGCGUGUGAAAACUACUGGUGACACAGUGAGCCGCAAAACUGUUCUGCAAGGGACCGUCCACAAAAAUAAAGCGUAGAAUCAGAGUAAAUUGAGUAUGAUUGUUUGCGAGAGAUAAUAGGAGCCAGAUACAACAUCAUGGUUCAAAACAGAAUGGGACGACAUGAUUUAAAGCUUAACAUGAUUAUUAAUUAUGGAAAACAGUUGGGACGCAGUCUUGUUCUUCUGGCACACUACACCACAGUGUUUGUAAGCUUUGUAUCUCGCUCUGUAAACUGUUUUUUGGAAGUGAUCAAGUGGAUGUUAGUGUUUGCCAGAUACACGGUGGCGGUAUUCGAUUCGAUGUAUAGGAGCCUACACUGGUGGACCAGAAGCCACAGAAGGACAUCCAUAGAGAUGCUCUCCAGAAGCGAAACGGAGUCAGACUGAUGGACAUAAAGUGCUUAUGAACUCAAAGGAAUGUUCCUGGAAAAAAUUCCAAGGAGAACAAUAUCAAUGCAUCGAUACAUAUAGAAGU
Molecule: long non-coding RNA, 1170 nt
Organism: Carassius auratus (goldfish)
Lineage: Eukaryota; Metazoa; Chordata; Actinopteri; Cypriniformes; Cyprinidae
Exons: 2
Source: RefSeq, a predicted model, not a curated record